RNAcentral lists this ribosomal RNA (497 nucleotides) under uncultured bacterium. Its description in RNAcentral is "partial 16S ribosomal RNA". It matches the Rfam family "Bacterial small subunit ribosomal RNA", at positions 28 to 507 of the family's 1533-position model. The record is from RNAcentral.
GAUGAACGCUGGCGGCGUGCCUAAUACAUGCAAGUCGAGCGAACAGACGAGGAGCUUGCUCCCCUGACGUUAGCGGCGGACGGGUGAGUAACACGUGGAUCACCUACCUAUAAGACUGGGAUAACUUCGGGAAACCGGAGCUAAUACCGGAUAAUAUAUUGAACCGCAUGGUUCAAUAGUGAAAGACGGUUUUGCUGUCACUUAUAGAUGGAUCCGCGCCGCAUUAGCUAGUUGGUAAGGUAACGGCUUACCAAGGCAACGAUGCGUAGCCGACCUGAGAGGGUGAUCGGCCACACUGGAACUGAGACACGGUCCAGACUCCUACGGGAGGCAGCAGUAGGGAAUCUUCCGCAAUGGGCGAAAGCUUGACGGAGCAACGCCGCGUGAGUGAUGAAGGUCUUCGGAUCGUAAAACUCUGUUAUUAGGAAAGAACAAAUGUGUAAGUAAAUAUGCACGUCUUGACGGUACCUAAACAGAAAGCCCCGGCUAACUACGUG